CAGCCGCCGCGGUAAUACGGAGGGUGCAAGCGUUAAUCGGAAUUACUGGGCGUAAAGCGCACGCAGGCGGUCUGACAAGUCAGAUGUGAAAUCCCCGGGCUUAACCUGGGAACUGCAUUUGAAACUGUCAGGCUGGAGUCUUGUAGAGGGGGGUAGAAUUCCAGGUGUAGCGGUGAAAUGCGUAGAGAUCUGGAGGAAUACCGGUGGCGAAGGCGGCCCCCUGGACAAAGACUGACGCUCAGGUGCGAAAGCGUGGGGAGCAAACAGGAUUAGAGACCCGAGUAGUCCCUGUCUCUUAUAC
Molecule: ribosomal RNA, 301 nt
Filed under: uncultured bacterium
Lineage: Bacteria
Description: partial 16S ribosomal RNA
Rfam family: Bacterial small subunit ribosomal RNA
Source: RNAcentral